UGACGUCAAGUCCUCAUGGCCUUUAUGACCAGGGCUACACACGUACUACAAUGGCCGGUACAAAGGGCAGCGACACAGCGAUGUGAAGCCAAUCCCGAAAAGACCGGUCUCAGUCCGGAUUGGAGUCUGCAACUCGACUCCAUGAAGUUGGAAUCGCUAGUAAUCGCGGAUCAGCACGCCGCGGUGAAUACGUUCCCGGGCCUU
RNAcentral lists this ribosomal RNA (204 nucleotides) under uncultured Desulfocapsa sp. Its description in RNAcentral is "partial 16S ribosomal RNA". It matches the Rfam family "Bacterial small subunit ribosomal RNA", at positions 1180 to 1382 of the family's 1533-position model. Lineage: Bacteria; Pseudomonadati; Thermodesulfobacteriota; Desulfobulbia; Desulfobulbales; Desulfocapsaceae. The record is from RNAcentral.